UGGGGAAUAUUGGACAAUGGGCGCAAGCCUGAUCCAGCCAUGCCGCGUGAGUGAUGAGGCCUUAGGGUUGUAAAGCUCUUUCGCCGGUGAAGAUAAUGACGGUAACCGGAGAAGAAGCCCCGGCUAACUUCGUGCCAGCAGCCGCGGUAAUACGAAGGGGGCUAGCGUUGCUCGGAAUCACUGGGCGUAAAGCGCACGUAGGCGGAUCGUUAAGUCAGGGGUGAAAUCCUGGAGCUCAACUCCAGAACUGCCCUUGAUACUGGCGAUCUCGAGUUCGAGAGAGGUUGGUGGAACUCCGAGUGUAGAGGUGAAAUUCGUAGAUAUUCGGAAGAACACCAGUGGCGAAGGCGGCCAACUGGCUCGAUACUGACGCUGAGGUGCGAAAGCGUGGGGAGCAAAACAGGAUUAGAUACCCUGGUAGUCCACGCCGUAAACGAUGGAUGCUAGCCGUUGGGGGGUUUACCUCUCAGUGGCGCAGCUAACGCCUUAAGCAUCCCGCCUGGGGAGUACGGUCGCAAGAUUAAAACUCAAAGGAAUUGACGGGGUCAUAGCUGUUUCCU
RNAcentral lists this ribosomal RNA (560 nucleotides) under uncultured bacterium. Its description in RNAcentral is "partial 16S ribosomal RNA". It matches the Rfam family "Bacterial small subunit ribosomal RNA", at positions 355 to 1375 of the family's 1533-position model. The record is from RNAcentral.